UACCUGGUUGAUUCUGCCAGUAGUCAUAUGCUUGUCUCAAAGAUUAAGCCAUGCAUGUCUAAGUAUAAGCAAUUAUACCGUGAAACUGCGAAUGGCUCAUUAAAUCAGUUAUCGUUUAUUUGAUAAUACCUUACUACUUGGAUAACCGUGGUAAUUCUAGAGCUAAUACAUGCUAAAAAUCCCGACUUCGGAAGGGAUGUGUUUAUUAGAUAAAAAACCAAUGCCCUUCGGGGCUUUUUGGUGACUCAUGAUAACUUUACGGAUCGCAUAGCCUUGCGCUGGCGACGGUUCAUUCAAAUUUCUGCCCUAUCAACUUUCGAUGGUAAGGUAUUGGCUUACCAUGGUUUCAACGGGUAACGGGGAAUUAGGGUUCGAUUCCGGAGAGGGAGCCUGAGAAACGGCUACCACAUCCAAGGAAGGCAGCAGGCGCGCAAAUUACCCAAUCCCGACACGGGGAGGUAGUGACAAUAAAUACUGAUACAGGGCUCUUUUGGGUCUUGUAAUUGGAAUGAGUACAAUUUAAACCUCUUAACGAGGAACAAUUGGAGGGCAAGUCUGGUGCCAGCAGCCGCGGUAAUUCCAGCUCCAAUAGCGUAUAUUAAAGUUGUUGCAGUUAAAAAGCUCGUAGUUGAAACUUGGGCCUGGCUGGCGGGUCCGCCUCACCGCGUGCACUCGUCCGGCCGGGCCUUCCUUCUGAAGAACCUCAUGCCCUUCACUGGGCGUGUUGGGGAAUCAGGACUUUUACUUUGAAAAAAUUAGAGUGUUCAAAGCAGGCCUUUGCUCGAAUACGUUAGCAUGGAAUAAUAAAAUAGGGCGUGCGUUUCUAUUUUGUUGGUUUCUAGAGACGCCGCAAUGAUUAACAGGAACAGUCGGGGGCAUCAUGCAGAAGAGUGCACCGGGCAAAAGCCCGGAUGAGCAACUGCAAGCAAGUCUGGCUGCAAGCGCUUCCCUUUCAACAAUUUCACGUGCUGUUUGACUCUCUUUCCAAAGUGCUUUUCAUCUUUCGAUCACUC
This 1013-nucleotide non-coding RNA is filed under the name Exserohilum turcica Et28A. Its description in RNAcentral is "Setosphaeria turcica Et28A Eukaryotic small subunit ribosomal RNA". It matches the Rfam family "Eukaryotic small subunit ribosomal RNA", at positions 1 to 978 of the family's 1831-position model. Lineage: Eukaryota; Fungi; Ascomycota; Dothideomycetes; Pleosporales; Pleosporaceae. The record is from Rfam by way of RNAcentral.